GGAUGAACGCUGGCGGCGUGCCUAAUACAUGCAAGUCGAGCGAACGGCCGAGAAGCUUGCUUCUCUGAUGUUAGCGGCGGACGGGUGAGUAACACGUGGAUAACCUACCUAUAAGACUGGGAUAACUUCGGGAAACCGGAGCUAAUACCGGAUAAUAUUUUGAACCGCAUGGUUCAAAAGCGAAAGACGGUCUUGCUGUCACUUAUAGAUGGAUCCGCGCUGCAUUAGCUAGUUGGUAAGGUAACGGCUUACCAAGGCAACGAUGCAUAGCCGACCUGAGAGGGUGAUCGGCCACACUGGAACUGAGACACGGUCCAGACUCCUACGGGAGGCAGCAGUAGGGAAUCUUCCGCAAUGGGCGAAAGCCUGACGGAGCAACGCCGCGUGAGUGAUGAAGGUCUUCGGAUCGUAAAACUCUGUUAUUAGGGAAGAACAUAUGUGUAAGUAACUGUGCACAUCUUGACGGUACCUAAUCAGAAAGCCACGGCUAACUACGUG
RNAcentral lists this ribosomal RNA (498 nucleotides) under uncultured bacterium. RNAcentral describes it as "partial 16S ribosomal RNA". It matches the Rfam family "Bacterial small subunit ribosomal RNA", at positions 27 to 507 of the family's 1533-position model. The record is from RNAcentral.